AUUGAACGCUGGCGGCAGGCCUAACACAUGCAAGUCGAGCGGAUGAAGGGAGCUUGCUCCUGGAUUCAGCGGCGGACGGGUGAGUAAUGCCUAGGAAUCUGCCUGGUAGUGGGGGAUAACGUCCGGAAACGGGCGCUAAUACCGCAUACGUCCUGAGGGAGAAAGUGGGGGAUCUUCGGACCUCACGCUAUCAGAUGAGCCUAGGUCGAAUUAGCUAGUUGGUGGGGUAAAGGCCUACCAAGGCGACGAUCCGUAACUGGUCUGAGAGGAUGAUCAGUCACACUGGAACUGAGACACGGCCCAGACUCCUACGGGAGGCAGCAGUGGGGAAUAUUGGACAAUGGGCGAAAGCCUGAUCCAGCCAUGCCGCGUGUGUGAAGAAGGUCUUCGGAUUGUAAAGCACUUUAAGUUGGGAGGAAGGGCAGUAAGUUAAUACCUUGCUGUUUUGACGUUACCAACAGAAUAAGCACCGGCUAACUUCGUG
This 484-nucleotide ribosomal RNA is filed under the name uncultured bacterium. Its description in RNAcentral is "partial 16S ribosomal RNA". It matches the Rfam family "Bacterial small subunit ribosomal RNA", at positions 30 to 507 of the family's 1533-position model. The record is from RNAcentral.